UUUAUUUUACCUUGUUGCUUCGGCGGGCCCGCCUUAACUGGCCGCCGGGGGGCUUACGCCCCCGGGCCCGCGCCCGCCGAAGACACCCUCGAACUCUGUCUGAAGAUUGUAGUCUGAGUGAAAAUAUAAAUUAUUUAAAACUUUCAACAACGGAUCUCUUGGUUCCGGCAUCGAUGAAGAACGCAGCGAAAUGCGAUACGUAAUGUGAAUUGCAAAUUCAGUGAAUCAUCGAGUCUUUGAACGCACAUUGCGCCCCCUGGUAUUCCGGGGGGCAUGCCUGUCCGAGCGUCAUUGCUGCCCUCAAGCACGGCUUGUGUGUUGGGCCCCGUCCUCCGAUCCCGGGGGACGGGCCCGAAAGGCAGCGGCGGCACCGCGUCCGGUCCUCGAGCGUAUGGGGCUUUGUCACCCGCUCUGUAGGCCCGGCCGGCGCUUGCCGAUCAACCCAAAUUUUUAUCCAGGUUGACCUCGGAUCAGGUAGGGAUACCCGCUGAACUUAAGCAUAUCAAUAA
This 509-nucleotide ribosomal RNA is filed under the name Penicillium chrysogenum. RNAcentral describes it as "eukaryotic LSU rRNA". The stretch from base 139 to 291 matches the Rfam family "5.8S ribosomal RNA". The record is from RNAcentral. Lineage: Eukaryota; Fungi; Ascomycota; Eurotiomycetes; Eurotiales; Aspergillaceae.